Marmota monax (woodchuck) is the source of this 791-nucleotide long non-coding RNA. RefSeq lists it as uncharacterized. The record is from RefSeq and is a predicted model, not a curated record. The transcript is spliced from 3 exons. Lineage: Eukaryota; Metazoa; Chordata; Mammalia; Rodentia; Sciuridae.
GAGUAAUUAUUCAGUCUCCAGACAACCUUUCAACUCCUCUGUGAUUCUGAAGCUCUGGCGAGCCUGUGAAGUGAGCCACAGACGGCAGCUCUCAUGCUUGGAUUUGGCAUGCAGGAUGCCUUUCUCCCUGAACCAUCAUGGUGCCAAUACAAGGAUUUGAAAAAAAGAAACAUGAAGGAAAAAUCUCACAGUAACUGAUGCAAAAGGAACAAUGGUAUCAAACCAAACAAGACCUUAGGUGAAUGACUUGUCUGAGGUCACAUGAGCAUAAGUGGAUGGACUAGAAAGUGAACCCAAGAAAUUCAAAGUAAGGAUCUGACCUUCACUCACCGCUGCAAUAUACCAUACACUUGUGGUACCUCUGACCUGUGCACCAGGAGUCACACAGUUGUGAAUGCCUACUAGGUACAGAAGCCAAACAACUUGAAAAGAGUGACAAUGGAAAACAAAGAAGGAACUGAUGGGGUAAAUCAAGCAGGAAAUCAAGUGUGGCUUCAACAUCUCGAAAGUUAAGAGAGAGUGAGACAGAAGUGGCAAAAGAUGGGGAUUCUCUUCCGCGUUUUUCAGGUGGGGGGAUAUGAAAAAGCAAUAGUGAAAAGACAAGAUUGUCAGGGGAUAAGGAAGAAGUAGAAGCUGAGAAAGAAGAGAGUAAAAAUACUGUUCUGAGAAGUUUGAGAGCAAUAUAAUGUCAAUGUGAAAGUUUACUGAAUGGAGAGUUGAUUUAACUACCCUGAUUUGAUCAUUAUAGACUCUGUAUACAUGCAUUGAAUUAUUAUUCUGUACCCCACAAA